Oreochromis niloticus (Nile tilapia) is the source of this 1750-nucleotide long non-coding RNA. RefSeq lists it as uncharacterized. NCBI's taxonomy places the organism in Eukaryota, Metazoa, Chordata, Actinopteri, Cichliformes, Cichlidae. The record is from RefSeq and is a predicted model, not a curated record. The transcript has 2 exons.
CUUGCAUGGUUUUAAGGAGCAGGUUGGGGAGGAGAACUGGCAACAGUUUUCAGAGCAGUUCCCACCACUGCUGAAGGAGAGACUGGCAGCCUGCUAUGGGGUUUAGAUUCUCUACACCCACCUAAGAGGUGAGCCAGCAGGAGGAGGGUGAAUGGGAAACUCAUCCAUCUGUGUAUUGCACUGCCCUGAUCUGGGGGGAGGGAGAGGGAUGCUAUUGGCCGCUCCCCCUGAUGGACGGCCCCCACGCCCUAUGUGUUUGUCCAUAGAGGGAGGGUAGGCGGGUGGGAGGGAGGGACAGGGAGGACACCUCUAGAUUAACUAGGCAGGGACCCGACACAGAAAAACUAACUGGUAGGGACAGAUAGAGAGGGACAGAGAGAAGGAGAUGGAGGGAGAGACAGGAUGGGGAAGAGGGGAGGCAGGGAGAGAUACCAGCAUAGAGAGAGUUCAGGGAAAGAAAGGGAGGGAAUUCAGUAAUAAGGAAGGGAAACAAGAGCCACAGAAGGGUCUGUUACUUGGCUUUGAGGACAGGGACAGCUGAGAUUUUAAUGGGAUUCUUAAACUUAAGAGUAAUAGAUUUCUUGACUGACAGAGACAGACCAAUGAAAACAGACUCUCACACUUUAACUUGCACAUGCUGUACAUUCAGUACAUGUAACAGACUGAGAGUGGCACUAUAAUUUAGACUUUUUAAGACCUACUACAUGUAGUUAGGGACCGACAGGUGUCUAAACUCUGUUCAUUUUCUGGGUAUUACAUUUCUUUUCCGGGGAAUAGGAUUCAAUAUAAAUUACUUCAUCCAUAGUCACUGAAACAAUACUUAACUGUAAGAUAAUCUAGCUAUCUUCAUCUGUUUCCUACCUUCAUUUUUGACCAGAGUGCUGCUUCACAGAGCUUUCUAUCGAUCAGACGUAUUCCUGUCACAUUUUCUACCUGAUCAAACUAGAGUAAGAGAGCAGGAGGGAAAAAAAACUAAGCAUCUUUUCCUCGUGGCUUCACAGCAACCAUUCCUCUAGGAAGGGAGGAUUAGGGCUAACACAUUUGUUUUCUCACCAGAGGGGGAGGAAAUCUUACCAAGAAAAUCACAUUUUUAGUUGUCUCUGUGCAGUUUUGUGCGUGUGAAUGUGCACGCGCGUGUGUGCGCAUGUGCAGUUUAUAAAUCCUUACUUCGGCAUUCUGUGUUAACAGUGUGUGAAAUGUGUAUUGUUUUUCAUAUGGUACCGAGCUAAAACUUGACUCCCACCGCGAUGUCCUUUGGCACCUGUUAACUGUGACCAAGUGUGUGUGUGUUUGUUUGUUUUUUGUAUGUGUGUGUGUGUGAGUGUGUAUGUGUUUGUCUACAUUCGUACUGAUAUCCAUUUGAUGCCAUAUCAAUAUCUUAAGUAAAACAGUGAUUGGCAGUGUCAUUGUGAUCUUUAUAAUGUUUUAAAACUGGUCCUUUUUUUUGCUGCUACUGUUGAUUCUUGUUUUUGUUUUUUUUAUAUAGUGGAUUUAAAUUCGCACACUUAACACAAAAAAACGAAUUAAUGCUAUUUUCAGUGACUGUUAAGUUGUUUUUUGCACUUUUUUUUAUUUUAUUUUACCUAUAUUUCUUUUUUGUAUGGAUUUUUUUAACCUCACCCAUAUGAUAUGUCUUGACCCUAAUGUCAGUGUUUGUCAUACUGUGUUGCACUGUGAAAUUAAGUGUCUGUGACUGGCAAAAAUAUCCCAAUACUAAAUGGCAAAUAAAAAUAACUUUGUGAAACUGCGA